Long non-coding RNA from Talpa occidentalis (Iberian mole), 823 nucleotides. RefSeq lists it as uncharacterized. The record is from RefSeq and is a predicted model, not a curated record. The transcript is spliced from 6 exons. NCBI's taxonomy places the organism in Eukaryota, Metazoa, Chordata, Mammalia, Eulipotyphla, Talpidae.
GGCACAGUGUUGUGUUCGGUUUGGGCCUGCUGAGCUUGAAGUGGAGUAUUUACAUAUAUCUACACAAUGAGUUGUUGGAAGUCUAAUUGGAGUUGGCGCAAAGGGAAGUUGCUUGAGCUCUGGUAGACAAGAGAGAAGCAUCCAUCAUGUCUGAAGGUUUUUGUUGCCUACAGGCAAUAAGAGAAGAAUCCAGUGGUGCCAUCAGAUUCGUUUGUUCUUGCUCUUCCCUCUUUCUUGAUGCUGGCCUUGCCCACCAAAAGUCACUCCAGGCCAUCACUGGACACUGUUGACAAUGCACAGAGCUGGCAGCCAUGAAGAGCCAACAAACUUCCAUAGACUUCAUGGUCUCACCCAGCAGCAGGAUGUGCUGACUUCCAGAGCUCCUUGCAAGUUGUGACUCGUUCCUGACUUUGCUCUGUGCCUUCAUUUACAUCUUUGUCUGCCCCACUCUUCCCAUAAUUGUGUGCCUCCAGCUGUCCAAACACAACUAGAAGACAGAGUAGAGGGCUACACUAGACGCAGUCCAUACUUCCAACUCUCUGGGGCCACAGAGCAGGGGAGGGGAAUAGAAAGGAGAAGCUCUUGGAGAAUAUCUAACAUGGUUUCAUUACCUUGCUGAGAUUUGUAAAUUUCUCGUUCAUCAUGAGCGUAUUUUCCUUGUCUGCUAACCCUAAAACCUGGGUUGGUCGUCUCAAGCACAGACUGGUGCAGUAUGGACACUCUGUAAUCUCUGAGCAUCUUGAAGAUCCCUUCUUGGAAUUGCCACGAUGUGCAUAAUGAACAAGUCUUACUGGUUGGUGUACUAACAAGAUCUAGAAGGAAU